GGAGCGGUGGAAUGCGCAGAUAUCAGGAGGAACACCAGUGGCGAAGGCGGUUCUCUGGGCCUUUCCUGACGCUGAGGAGCGAAAGCGUGGGGAGCGAACAGGCUUAGAUACCCUGGUAGUCCACGCUGUAAACGGUGGGUACUAGGUGUGGGGUCCAUUCCACGGGUUCCGCGCCGUAGCUAACGCUUUAAGUACCCCGCCUGGGGAGUACGGCCGCAAGGCUAAAACUCAAAGGAAUUGACGGGGCCCCGCACAAGCGGCGGAGCAUGCGGAUUAAUUCGAUGCAACGCGUAGAACCUUACCUGGGUUUGACAUGGAUCGGGAGUGCUCAGAGAUGGGUGUGCCUCUUUUGGGGUCGGUUCACAGGUGGUGCAUGGCUGUCGUCAGCUCGUGUCGUGAGAUGUUGGGUUAAGUCCCGCAACGAGCGCAACCCUUGUUCACUGUUGCCAGCACGUUAUGGUGGGGACUCAGUGGAGACCGCCGGGGUCAACUCGGAGGAAGGUGGGGAUGACGUCAAGUCAUCAUGCCCCUUAUGUCCAGGGCUUCACGCAUGCUACAAUGGCUGGUACAGAGAGUGGCGAGCCUGUGAGGGUGAGCGAAUCUCGGAAAGCCGGUCUUAGUUCGGAUUGGGGUCUGCAACUCGACCUCAUGAAGUUGGAGUCGCUAGUAAUC
Molecule: ribosomal RNA, 672 nt
Filed under: uncultured marine bacterium
Lineage: Bacteria
Description: bacterial SSU rRNA
Rfam family: Bacterial small subunit ribosomal RNA
Source: RNAcentral